Molecule: transfer RNA, 79 nt
Filed under: Promethearchaeati archaeon
Lineage: Archaea; Promethearchaeati
Description: Asgard group archaeon (marine sediment metagenome) tRNA-Met
Rfam family: tRNA
About the family: Transfer RNA (tRNA) molecules are approximately 80 nucleotides in length.
Source: RNAcentral
GGACGAGUAACUCAGCUUGGGUUAGAGUGUCCGGCUCAUAACUGGAAAUGCGUAAGUUCAAAUCUUACCUCGUCCACCA